This 495-nucleotide ribosomal RNA is filed under the name uncultured eukaryote. RNAcentral's name for it is "eukaryotic LSU rRNA". It matches the Rfam family "Eukaryotic large subunit ribosomal RNA", at positions 2285 to 2764 of the family's 3401-position model. The record is from RNAcentral.
AAAUGCCUCGUCAUCUAAUUAGUGACGCGCAUGAAUGGAUUAACGAGACUUCCCACUGUCCCUACUUGCUAUCUAGCGAACCAACAGCCAAGGGGAACGGGCUUGGCAAUGUCAGCGGGGAAAGAAGACCCUAUUGAGCUUGACUCUAGUCUAAAAUUGUGAAAUAUUUUUAUGGGUGUAGAAUAGGUGGGAGUUUGUAAAAACAAUCUUGAAAUACCACUACCGUAAAUAAUAUUUUACUUAUCUAAUUAUUAUAUAACAUUAUUAGAAAUAAUAAUGUAUUUUUGUAUUACAAUGAUAUAACUUAUCAUCUAAUAUUAUUUGGGUUAGAAAAAAUUUUAGUUUGGGAGUUUGGCUGGGGCGGCACAUCUGUUAAAUAAUAACACAGGUGUCCUAAGAUAAACUCAAUAAGAACAGAAAUCUUAUGUUGAAUAAAAGGGUAAAAGUUUAUUUGAUUUUGAUUUUCAGUAUGAAUACAAACUGUGAAAGCAUGGC